GAUGAACGCUGGCGGUAUGCUUAACGCAUGCAAGUCGAACGGACUCUUCGGAGUUAGUGGCGGACGGGUGAGUAACGCGUGAGAAUCUGGCUUUGGGUUCGGGACAACCACUGGAAACGGUGGCUAAUACCGGAUGUGCCGAGAGGUAAAAGAGAAAUUGCCUGAAGAUGAGCUCGCGUCUGAUUAGCUAGUUGGUGAGGUAAAGGCUCACCAAGGCAGCGAUCAGUAGCUGGUCUGAGAGGAUGACCAGCCACACUGGGACUGAGACACGGCCCAGACUCCUACGGGAGGCAGCAGUGGGGAAUUUUCCGCAAUGGGCGAAAGCCUGACGGAGCAAUACCGCGUGAGGGAAGAAGGCUCUGGGUUGUAAACCUCUUUUCUUAGGGAAGAACAAAAUGACGGUACCUAAGGAAUCAGCAUCGGCUAACUCCGUG
RNAcentral lists this ribosomal RNA (434 nucleotides) under uncultured bacterium. Its description in RNAcentral is "partial 16S ribosomal RNA". It matches the Rfam family "Bacterial small subunit ribosomal RNA", at positions 28 to 507 of the family's 1533-position model. The record is from RNAcentral.